CGUAGGGUAACCUGCCCAAGAGAUCGGGAUAACACCUGGAAACAGAUGCUAAUACCGGAUAACAACAGAUGAUGCCUAUCAACUGUUUAAAAGAUGGUUCUGCUAUCACUCUUGGAUGGACCUGCGGUGCAUUAGCUAGUUGGUAGGGUAACGGCCUACCAAGGCGAUGAUGCAUAGCCGAGUUGAGAGACUGAUCGGCCACAUUGGGACUGAGACACGGCCCAAACUCCUACGGGAGGCAGCAGGG
This 247-nucleotide ribosomal RNA is filed under the name uncultured Lactobacillus sp. Its description in RNAcentral is "partial 16S ribosomal RNA". It matches the Rfam family "Bacterial small subunit ribosomal RNA", at positions 116 to 354 of the family's 1533-position model. Lineage: Bacteria; Bacillati; Bacillota; Bacilli; Lactobacillales; Lactobacillaceae. The record is from RNAcentral.